ACGCUCGACACCUACGAGAGGCAGCAGUGAGGAAUAUUGGUCAAUGGGCGCUAGCCUGAACCAGCCAAGUAGCGUGAAGGAUGAAGGCUCUAUGGGUCGUAAACUUCUUUUAUAUAAGAAUAAAGUGCAGUAUGUAUACUGUUUUGUAUGUAUUAUAUGAAUAAGGAUCGGCUAACUCCGUGCCAGCAGCCACGGUAAUCUGAGCGGGCUGGCAAGGC
RNAcentral lists this ribosomal RNA (218 nucleotides) under uncultured bacterium. Its description in RNAcentral is "partial 16S ribosomal RNA". It matches the Rfam family "Bacterial small subunit ribosomal RNA", at positions 328 to 539 of the family's 1533-position model. The record is from RNAcentral.